AAAACUGAUUCAAAAUUAGCACAAGACUCGCUACAAAGAACACAAGACACGGUUUCCUGUGUAUGUGUGUUUUCUUCAGUUUUUUUAAGACUUCCAGAAAAGUUUCCUCUGCAAAACUGAGACCAAAAGGGUAAAAAAUGCAAAUGUGCUGGUCCAACCUUGAACCAUCAUCUGUACCCUGCCCAGGGAGGCCACAGAGACUCAGGAGAGAGAGGGCCAAGUCCCAAAGUCUCAGGAACUCUAAAAGGGAGCUCCCUAGAACUGUGUGCAAUCGCCAAUACUUUGGGCUCCAGCCUGGAAGGGGCAGCUCCUUGUACCCUGUGUCCUGAACCUGUCGACAGAGCCAGCCCAAGAGGAAACCGCUCACCACCUCAGAUCUGGGACUGAAAUGCUCACAACCUCAGGUCUGGGACUCACACGCACUCCCACCCUACCUUCACCUGCUGAGCCCCCAGUCCCUCACCAUCACCAAGGAAUGGAACCGCCAGUCCAGGAGGCUCCCACCCUAAGAAGCUGAGAGGCUACGUGCUGAGAGCGCAGGGCCCUGUGUGGGACAGGAGACAAGAAGAGAUGGUGAUGAGCCAAAGCGAGUUGCUGGGUGAGGCUAGGAGGCGGGAUUCUGAGUAGCUGGCCUUGGGGGGAGGCUGCAGCUUCUAGGGAUUCGGGGGGGGGACAGGCCCAGACAAACGUGUGGGACAUCAGGGAGCCAGAACCCUCUCUGCAGAAAAGGCACACCUCACACAGGAGUCCUGUUACAACGGAACAGGCCUUUCUGGGCAAAAGAGGGAGCAGCAGCCCCCCCCCCCCAGCUCUAGCUGGGACAGGCCACGGGGGGAGUCCCGGCAGAGGAGGGAAGGAGCCGUGUGGUCCGCGAGACCAUGAUGCUGCGUGGCGAGGCCGCGACAGGGUCAGGCCCUCCGAAUCUCACUCACUUCGGUUUGGUAAGACCCAGAUCGAUAAGGCUGGGACACACAGAAGACUGGAAAUCCCAAAUUUGCCGACUCGAAAAUCUCACCUCCUCCCAUUUGAAAGUGCACCCUCGUGUGCCCUCCGAGGGCAGGGCAGGGGGAGGCAAGGUCAGGACAGCGCGAGCAGUGAGCCCUGCUGGUGAAACCCGCUGUCUGUGUUGCCCACAGAGCAAGAGCCAGGUCUCCUGCGUUCACGCCUUUCGUCCCGCAGGCAUUUACGGAGCAGCCCACGCUUGGUGACACAGGCUUCUGGGGAUGCAGACAGACAUGGGCCCAUCCCCCUUGAACUUAGCGUCUGGCAGGGGAGACAGGCCCCCCAAAAGGAAAAACUCGCACGCAUGAGUACGUAAGUGUUCCACGAGGUGGUGCGCUCAGCAAGGGUGAGACGGGGCAACAGUCCUAAUCUGGAGGCUGAUCGGGAAAGGUUUUCCCAAAGACGCGGUACUUAAGGAAGGAAGGAAGCAGGGGUUCGCCAGUCCAGGGAGAAAGGGAGCGGACUCCAGGCAGAGGACGCGGCACGCGCCGAGGCCCUGGGGCGCACGGGAGGGGUGGGGCGUGCUGGAACGAGUCCGGCGUCCCUGGAGCUGGGUCGGCAAGGAGGAGUGUGGAGCGAGAGAGGGCUCGAGGCGCUGCUGGAGCGGGGCACUCAGAGUCCUACAGACACCCGAAGGGUUUUGGUCCUCACCCUGAAAGCAAUCAGAAGCCACCGAACGGAUUUAAGGGGUAGAGCGCCGUGCUCCUGGGCUCGUGAAAAGAUCACGCAGAUCGACCUUCUAAUGAACGCCUCGAGGAGCCGCGUCGAGCCGCUGGACGGCCAGUGCCGGGAGGGCCACAGAGCCUACUCGGCCACGGCUCCCCUUGCACACCCGGUGCCCGAGGCAGAGCGGCCAGGGUCAGUGCCGCCCCACCGGCUCCUGCCUCGGUUACCUUGAGAAAGACCCCCAGUGUCGGGAAAGCGGGACCUGUUUUCUUCGAGAGCGUGGAAAGGGGUCCGGGAAGCCUGACGGGUGACCACGGUCAGGACCCACAGCGAGAAGUCACCUGUAUGACGUGCUGAGCGAGAAGUCACCUGUAUGACGUGCUGAGAAGUGCCCCUCGCCUCCGGGUUCCUCCCACGACCCGCAACCGACGGGCAGUCUGCAAAGCGCCCGGCCGGCUCCCCUCAGUGCUGUCGGGGCAAGUCCGGGAAACUGUCACCACCCAGAGGAGCCUAAGGACACAGGAAGACUGACCCCAACUUGGGUCCUAGAACAGGAAAAGGACACUGGCUGGAAACUAAGCACAGGCUUAGUUAACAGGAACCUGUCAACACUGGUCCACCGGUUGUGACGGAGCCACCACACUAAGGGCUCGGUGAGCACGGGAGAAGUGGGCGGAUGGACGUCCGCUGACGAACCCCACGCUGUCCCCAUCACUGGUCAGCUUCAAGGCAAAUCCGGGUCGCUCACCCAGACUCGGGCAGUUUGCUCACUUGGACAUCACUCAGCCUUGGUUUUGUCAUCUGAGCAACGGGAAUAGUGUUUUGCUGAGAUUCUCGGGAGCGACUCAACAAAUACGAGUUCCCUUCAUAACUGGGAUGACGCUCGCUCAUCCACAGGACACACAUUUAUUCCCCUACACGCCACGCCCCCCACAGAGCCGUCACCGUCGGCGGCCCAGUCCGGGAGCGGGAGACGCGUCAUCUGUCUCCUCCAGACUCCCAGAAAGCUCGCUCCAGCCCGACCCUCUGGGCCCGUGACAUGCGCCUCGGUCCCCAUUCAGCAAGCGUUCGGGCCACGAGAAGACUCUCGUGUGCUGAACGGUUCAAAGUAAGAACAAAGGAUCCGUAUCAGAGGGACAGUGUGACGGUAAGUUCUGGAACAUUCCGGCCGCUUCCGAAUUCUGCCCCACUCACACAGUCCUUUGGUUGUUCCUUCAACAGACACCCCCUUGAGCACCUGUGACGUGCCAGGGAGCAACCUGGACACCCAGCUAGCGGCUGGCAGCUUGGGCCUCUACUGUAAGCACACAGGCUUUUUAAAACGUCUUUGGCAUUUGUGAAGCACUCCUGUCUGAAAUGAAACAGAAAUCGUUAGCCUCAUUUAGAAAAUAAUUCCUUUCCUCCCACACACGCUACACCGUGCGCCUACGACGUUGCUCAGAUUUUCCAACUACGAAUUUCCUUUAGGUCAAGGCCGAGAACCCAGGGGAAGCUAAGGAAGACGUCUCGAGAAAGCCUUGCGCUCACAGCGGUUUUGAGUGGAAAUACGGCCUUCGCUGUGACUGCAUCAUGGUUGAAUUUCGCACCAGAGAAAGGAAGGACCGACGUUAACCUCAGAACGAGGAAGACCGUACUAGUCACACACAGAAAAGCAGUCCCCUGAGCCAGAAGCCGCGGGGGCCGCGGCCCCGGGAGCCCGUCGCCGAUGUUUCCGAGGACAGCUGGAAGGCGGGCCCCGGGCUGGCCGAGCCAGAGUCUGGCCGAGCAGGGUCGGAGACGGAGGGAAGGCAGAGGAGGGAAUACCCGUCCGGACAGGCUGGCAACAGCGAGUGGGAAGGAAGUGGCUUUGUGAGUUGUCGACCUCACGGCAGGCCGAGAAGCAGAAACUUAACCACACAGGGUACAGAGCUAUUUUCAACCUUGGGGUUUUCACCCCCUGUCCCCAAAGCGUUCGGGCGGCCUGGCUCCCGUGUGACACUGGCAGGGCCCUGGACUCAUGGGACAGGACGGGAGACAAGGCAGGUCUGAGAAAGGCACGUGGGGCAGCAGGCCCCCACUGUGGAAGCUGAGCCUCGGUUUCCCCAUCCGCUCACGGAGGUUCUGAAUCGGUCUCCUCCCGAGGCUGUAACAAAGGACCACAAACCCAGUGGCUGAAAACAACACACUGUGUCCUCCUCUGUUCUCUGACAUCUCGGUGCACAGUGAGGCCAGACGUCCGGAGGUCAGACGUCCAACACGGGUCUCCCUGGGCUCGAGCCCAAGCGUCAGCUGGGCUGGUUCCUUCUGGAGGCUCCGGGAACCAUGUUUCCUCCCCUUUUCCAGUUUUCAGAGACCACCAACUUCCCCGGUUCGUGGCCCCUCCGCAUCUCCAAAGCCAGCGGGAUGGCCCCUCCAGUCUCCCUCUGACUCCUCCCCUCUCCCCCUUAGAGGACCCUACCGGGACAGCGGGCCCACCAGAUCAUCCAGGACCACCGCCCCAUCCCCAGGCCCUCGAUCCUGCCACACCGGCAAAGCGCCUUUGGCCAUGAAGGGAUCGUCCUCACGAAUUCCUUCUGAGCACGAAAAUACGGACAUCGUCGGGGGGCGUUACCCCGCCUACCCCAAGUUCCUUCCCUCUUGAACCUUCUAAGAUUCUGGGCAAGGGAGAGGAGUCUUCUCUACCAAACACCAUCAGUGACAAUG
Felis catus (domestic cat) is the source of this 4350-nucleotide long non-coding RNA. RefSeq lists it as uncharacterized. The transcript has 2 exons. NCBI's taxonomy places the organism in Eukaryota, Metazoa, Chordata, Mammalia, Carnivora, Felidae. The record is from RefSeq and is a predicted model, not a curated record.